RNAcentral lists this transfer RNA (69 nucleotides) under Gegeneophis ramaswamii (Tenmalai caecilian). Its description in RNAcentral is "tRNA-Gly". Lineage: Eukaryota; Metazoa; Chordata; Amphibia; Gymnophiona; Indotyphlidae. The record is from RNAcentral.
AUCUUCUUAGUAUAAUAAAUACUAUUGAUUUCCAAUCUUUAAAUCCAAAAUAAAUCUUUGGAGAAGAUA